This is a long non-coding RNA of Tripterygium wilfordii, 1203 nucleotides long. RefSeq lists it as uncharacterized. The transcript has 5 exons. The record is from RefSeq and is a predicted model, not a curated record. Lineage: Eukaryota; Viridiplantae; Streptophyta; Magnoliopsida; Celastrales; Celastraceae.
AAAAACCCGUGCUGGAAGCCGAAAACGGUGAGGAGCUCAUCCAUGUCCAGACCGGUGUUUCUCUUGCCCUCGCCAAUCAUUCUGCGGAGUUCCCUGGCACACUCUAUAUCUCUACUAAGAACACCGUAAUGGCGUUUGCAGGCAAGUGAUGUGGACAGGGCGAAAGGCUAUGCCGUUGAUUUCUCAUCUCUUUCUUUGCAUGCGAUAUCAAGAGAUCCAGAGGCUUACUCUUCGCCUUGUAUAUAUUCUCAGGAUUCAGCGCAGCACACUCACAGAAUACCUGGAACAAAGUAUCCACUGCCACAGAGAAAAUCAAAUCAACAAUGACCAACCCAACAAACAAGAAGCAACAUGCCACUAAUAAUUAACCACAAGAAUGUGGAAGAAUAAGGGAGAAAUUACAUUGGCUUGGGUCUGAAGGAAUGAACCUCAUCUCUGUGAUCUUUGUUAAGUCAAAAAUUUGAUCACAUUCUGCAUCAGAGCCCUCAGACUCAUCUUCAUCGGCUUCAGUCUCAAUCUUCAACAAGAUUAAUUAGAACCAUGUACCAUUAGAGAAGGAGUUGUAAUCUAAGAAUUGUAAAAACCGGGUCGUGAUUUCUUGUAUUAAGAUAAUUUAGUCCUCACUUGUGUUCUGCGUAUUGUAUUACUAUGUCAGUUCAUUAACUGAAAUCUCUUUCCUUUUCGAUUGAUUUCUUUUUCAGAAGAAGAUGGAGAACAACAUAAUUGGGUUUUUAGUGCUGAUCAGAUAGAAAAUGAGGAUGCAGAGGUGGAUUCUGAGUGGAAUUUCUCCCACAAUCCAACAAAUACUAUUGGCCAUUCAAAUGGGGGUCGUGAUUUAGCCCAAUCAAUACUUGAGCUUUGAGGAUGCAGAAGAGAUGGAACAUGAGAGUCACAGGGGCAUCAAUGAGCACUUUCCUUGAACGUAAUCCGUAGUCGAGGAAGCAAGCCUGCUUUCGUGUCCCGGGCUUGGAACCUCCGUCAUGUAAAUUUUUGUAGCUCUUUCAAUAUUCAUGGGCAAAAGAGUGGGAAUAUAUGUUGCUCUUUGGAUUUAACUUGGUCUUUGUUGUGAUGCCAAAAAACUCUGCGCUCGGCCAACUUGUAUCUUGUGUUGGUGUGCAAAGCUGUUCAUCAACUGCCUGGCACUACUAUGUGAAUCCAUAAAAUUUGAAGCCCUUUGGAGUCUAUUAUUUCGUUUAUGUUAAA